This 445-nucleotide ribosomal RNA is filed under the name uncultured bacterium. RNAcentral describes it as "bacterial SSU rRNA". It matches the Rfam family "Bacterial small subunit ribosomal RNA", at positions 329 to 792 of the family's 1533-position model. The record is from RNAcentral.
AGCCAGACUCCUACGGGAGGCAGCAGUGGGGGAUAUUGCACAAUGGGGGGAACCCUGAUGCAGCGACGCCGCGUGGGUGAGGAAGUACCCCGGUAUGUAAAGCCCUUUCGGCAGGGAAGAAAAUGACGGUACCUGGCGAAGAAGCCCCGGCUAACUACGUGCCAGCAGCCGCGGUAAUACGUAGGGGGCAAGCGUUAUCCGGAUUCACUGGGUGUAAAGGGAGCGCAGGCGGUCCGGAAAGUCAGCGGUAAAAGCCCGGGGCUCACCCCCGGCGAGCCGUUGAAACUGUCGGACUAGAGACGGCGAGAAGUACGCGGAAUGCGCGGUGUAGCGGUGAAAUGCAUAGAUAUCGCGCAGAACUCCGAUUGCGAAGGCAGCGUACCGGCGCCGGACUGACGCUGAGGCACGAAAGCGUGGGUAUCGAACAGGAUUAGAUACCCGAGUA